RNAcentral lists this long non-coding RNA (265 nucleotides) under Lathyrus oleraceus (garden pea). RNAcentral's name for it is "Pisum sativum (pea) long non-coding RNA (PSAT_LNC019806)". Lineage: Eukaryota; Viridiplantae; Streptophyta; Magnoliopsida; Fabales; Fabaceae. The record is from RNAcentral.
UUGGAGUUUUCGAAACUAUUUUGUCGUUCACUCAUAGAUUAAAUUUUAUGUAUAUUUGAUGCCAUAAAUUAACAAAUAAUUAGGCUAAGUGGUAAGAAAGGUGUACCAAUAUCCCUGAGGUCAGUGGUUAGAAAGAUAAUCUAGAUUAUAGAAAUGAGUAUACGGUGAUGCUUGGACACAAUGAUACCUCGGUGUGUAUCACGAACAAGUAUUCGUUUGAUUAUAAAUCAAUAUGCAUUGUAUGGAACAUGUGGAAUACUUUGUG